CCAUACGACCGUACCGCAAACCGACACUGGUGCGCGAGAUGAGGAUUCUAAGGCGCUUGAGAGAACUCAGGAGAAGGAACUCGGCAAAUUGACACCGUAACUUCGGAAGAAGGUGUGCCCUAUUAGUGUGUAGUGAACAACGAAGCAUGAAUGGGUUGCAAAAAAUCGGUGGCUGCGACUGUUUAUUAAAAACACAGCACUCUGCAAACACGAAAGUGGACGUAUAGGGUGUGACGCCUGCCCGGUGCUGGAAGAUUAAAUGAUGGGGUGCAAGCUCUUGAUUGAAGUCCCAGUAAACGGCGGCCGUAACGAUAACGGUCCUAAGGUAGCGAAAUUCCUUGUCGGGUAAGUUCCGACCUGCACGAAUGGCGUAACGAUGGCCACACUGUCUCCUCCUGAGACUCAGCGAAGUUGAAAUGUUUGUGAUGAUGCAAUCUCCCCGCGGAAAGACGGAAAGACCCCAUGAACCUUUACUGUAGCUUUGUAUUGGACUUUGAACAGAUCUGUGUAGGAUAGGUGGGAGGCUUUGAAGCAGGGUCGCUAGAUCUUGUGGAGCCAACGUUGAAAUACCACCCUGGUGUGUUUGAGGUUCUAACCUAGGUCCAUUAUCUGGAUCGGGGACAGUGCAUGGUAGGCAGUUUGACUGGGGCGGUCUCCUCCCAAAGCGUAACGGAGGAGUUCGAAGGUACGCUAGUUACGGUCGGACAUCGUGACGAUAGUGCAAUGGCAUAAGCGUGCUUAACUGCGAGACUGACAAGUCGAGCAGAUGCGAAAGCAGGACAUAGUGAUCCGGUGGUUCUGUAUGGAAGGGCCAUCGCUCAACGGAUAAAAGGUACUCUGGGGAUAACAGGCUGAUACCGCCCAAGAGUUCAUAUCGACGGCGGUGUUUGGCACCUCGAUGUCGGUUCAUCUCAUCCUGGGGCUGUAGCCGGUCCCAAGGGUAUGGCUGUUCGCCAUUUAAAGAGGUACAUGAGCUGGGUUUAAAACGUCGUGAGACAGUUUGGUCCCUAUCUUCCGUGGGCGCUGCAGAUUUGAGGAAGCCUGCUCCUAGUACGAGAGGACCGGAGUGGACACACCUCUGGUGUAUCGGUUGUCACGCCAGUGGCAUUGCCGAGUAGCCAAGUGUGGAAGAGAUAACCGCUGAAAGCAUCUAAGCGGGAAACUCGUUUCAAGAUGAGAUCUGCCGGGGCCUUGAGCCCCCUAAAGAGUCGUUCAAGACCAGGACGUUGAUAGGUCAGGUGUGGGAGCGG
Molecule: ribosomal RNA, 1250 nt
Filed under: metagenome
Description: bacterial LSU rRNA
Rfam family: Bacterial large subunit ribosomal RNA
Source: RNAcentral